AACGAACGCUGGCGGCAUGCCUAACACAUGCAAGUCGAACGAGACCUUCGGGUCUAGUGGCGCACGGGUGCGUAACGCGUGGGAACCUGCCCUUAGGUUCGGAAUAACUCCCCGAAAGGGGUGCUAAUACCGGAUAAUGUCUUCGGACCAAAGAUUUAUCGCUUUUGGAUGGGCGCGCGUUGGAUUAGCGAGUUGGUAGGGUAAAAGCCUACCAAGGCGACGAUCCAUAGCUGGUCGGAGAGGAUGAUCAGCCACACUGGGACUGAGACACGGCCCAGACUCCUACGGGAGGCAGCAGUGGGGAAUAUUGGACAAUGGGCGAAAGCCUGAUCCAGCAAUGCCGCGUGAGUGAUGAAGGCCUUAGGGUUGUAAAGCUCUUUUACCCGGGAUGAUAAUGACAGUACCGGGAGAAUAAGCUCCGGCUAACUCCGUG
RNAcentral lists this ribosomal RNA (433 nucleotides) under uncultured bacterium. RNAcentral's name for it is "partial 16S ribosomal RNA". It matches the Rfam family "Bacterial small subunit ribosomal RNA", at positions 29 to 507 of the family's 1533-position model. The record is from RNAcentral.